AAUCCGUGUUGCGAGCACUUUUUUUAGAGGUCCUUAAAACGCUCCCAUCUCUUAAAAAAUAAUUCGAGCUCCAUCUUUAUGAAUGAGGAUAUCUCAUCACGAAGCCU
Molecule: small nucleolar RNA, 107 nt
Organism: Dioscorea cayenensis subsp. rotundata (Guinea yam)
Lineage: Eukaryota; Viridiplantae; Streptophyta; Magnoliopsida; Dioscoreales; Dioscoreaceae
Source: RefSeq, a predicted model, not a curated record